Molecule: ribosomal RNA, 251 nt
Filed under: uncultured prokaryote
Description: partial 16S rRNA
Rfam family: Bacterial small subunit ribosomal RNA
Source: RNAcentral
ACGGAGGAUGCGAGCGUUAUCCGGAUUUAUUGGGUUUAAAGGGUGCGUAGGCGGAUAGAUAAGUCAGUGGUGAAAACCUGCAGCUUAACUGUAGACUUGCCGUUAAUACUGUCAGUCUUGAGUAUGGUCAAGGUAGGUGGAAUGCGUAAUGUAGCGGUGAAAUGCUUAGAUAUGACGCAGAACACCGAUCGCGAAGGCAGCAGCCUAGGCUAUAACUGACGCUAAAGUGCGAAAGCGUAGGGAUCUAGCAG